GUUUCGGUGACCGAGAAAGGUGAAAGAUUUUUAAUCUUUUUACAGGGGUACUCCCUCCGAGAUA
This 64-nucleotide transfer RNA is filed under the name Ceratodoris hiroi. RNAcentral's name for it is "Okenia hiroi tRNA-Lys". It matches the Rfam family "tRNA". From Rfam's summary of the family: Transfer RNA (tRNA) molecules are approximately 80 nucleotides in length. The record is from RNAcentral. Lineage: Eukaryota; Metazoa; Mollusca; Gastropoda; Nudibranchia; Goniodorididae.